UACCGAAAAGGAGCAUGUGAAAAUUGUGGGGCCAUGACACACAAAAAGAAAGACUGCUUUGAGAGACCUAGGCGAGUUGGAGCCAAAUUUACAGGUACUAAUAUAGCUCCAGAUGAACAUGUCCAGCCUCAACUGAUGUUUGACUAUGAUGGAAAAAGAGAUCGGUGGAAUGGCUAUAAUCCAGAAGAACACAUGAAAAUUGUGGAAGAAUAUGCCAAAGUUGAUCUGGUGAGCAACAUUCCCUGCUUGUCUACUGUCCUUAAAUAAUGUACAUUUUGUCAUGUCUCUGACUUAAAAACUCUAUUUUUCAAAUCUUAAAGCGCUAUAAAAAAUGGUGCCUUAUUGAAUAGUGAAAAUAAAUGAAUGGUAGCUGUA
This is a non-coding RNA of Ictidomys tridecemlineatus (thirteen-lined ground squirrel), 375 nucleotides long. Lineage: Eukaryota; Metazoa; Chordata; Mammalia; Rodentia; Sciuridae. The record is from RefSeq and is a predicted model, not a curated record.